Molecule: long non-coding RNA, 239 nt
Filed under: Medicago truncatula (barrel medic)
Lineage: Eukaryota; Viridiplantae; Streptophyta; Magnoliopsida; Fabales; Fabaceae
Description: long non-coding RNA (MTRU_LNC002542)
Source: RNAcentral
CAACUCUCUUUCUUCCUCUCCUACUCGUGAAACAAAAAAUAUGGAUCUUUUCUCAUAAGUUUAGGAAGCUAUCAAAGACAAAAAGCCAAGAAUUGUUUCUCUUCAAAACAAACCAAGAACGGAUUGAUUGUCUUCACAGUCACCAAUCACCACUAAAUCUUAUGCUUGCUUGACAACAUCUUUCAAAUUUUAAUUGAUAAAAAAUUCACAAUCCAGAAAAAUCAUGAAACUAACAUAGG